AGUGAACGCUGGCGGUAGGCCUAACACAUGCAAGUCGAACGGCAGCACAGUAAGAGCUUGCUCUUACGGGUGGCGAGUGGCGGACGGGUGAGGAAUACAUCGGAAUCUACUUUUUCGUGGGGGAUAACGUAGGGAAACUUACGCUAAUACCGCAUACGACCUACGGGUGAAAGCAGGGGAUCUUCGGACCUUGCGCGAUUGAAUGAGCCGAUGUCGGAUUAGCUAGUUGGCGGGGUAAAGGCCCACCAAGGCGACGAUCCGUAGCUGGUCAGAGAGGAUGAUCAGCCACACUGGAACUGAGACACGGUCCAGACUCCUACGGGAGGCAGCAGUGGGGAAUAUUGGACAAUGGGCGCAAGCCUGAUCCAGCCAGACCGCGUGGGUGAAGAAGGCCUUCGGGUUGUAAAGCCCUUUUGUUGGGAAAGAAAAGCAGCAGGUUAAUACCCCGCUGUUCUGACGGUACCCAAAGAAUAAGCACCGGCUAACUUCGUG
This 492-nucleotide ribosomal RNA is filed under the name uncultured bacterium. RNAcentral describes it as "partial 16S ribosomal RNA". It matches the Rfam family "Bacterial small subunit ribosomal RNA", at positions 29 to 507 of the family's 1533-position model. The record is from RNAcentral.